AUUGAACGCUGGCGGCAUGCUUUACACAUGCAAGUCGAACGGUAACAGGCCUUCGGGUGCUGUCGAGUGGUGAACGGGGGAGUAAUGCAUCGGAACGUACCCAGAGGUGGGGGAUAACGCAGCGAAAGCUGUGCUAAUACCGCAUGUGAUCUGAGGAUGAAAGCGGGGGAGCGAGCAACAAAGUUUGGCCUCGCGCCUUUGUAGCGGCCGAUGUCGGAUUAGCUAGUUGGUGAGGUAAAGGCCUACCAAGGCGACGAUCCGUAGCUGGUCUGAGAGGACGACCGGCCACACUGGAACUGAGACACGGUCCAGACUCCUACGGGAGGCAGCAGUAGGGAAUCUUGGGCAAUGGGCGAAAGCCUGACGCAGCAACGCCGCGUGAGGGAUGAAGGUCUUCGGAUCGUAAAACUCUGUUAGUAGGGAAGAACAGGUGUGUACGAAACCAGGCACGUAUUGACGGUACCUGAAGAGAAAGCAACGGCUAACUACGUG
This 492-nucleotide ribosomal RNA is filed under the name uncultured bacterium. RNAcentral describes it as "partial 16S ribosomal RNA". It matches the Rfam family "Bacterial small subunit ribosomal RNA", at positions 29 to 507 of the family's 1533-position model. The record is from RNAcentral.